GAUGAACGCUAGCGGCAGGCUUAACACAUGCAAGUCGGAGGGGUAACAAGGAAAAAGUCUUGUCUUUUUUGCUGACGACCGGCGCACGGGUGCGUAACGCGUAUAGAAUCUACCUUUUACUAAGGGAUAGCCUUUAGAAAUGAAGAUUAAUACCUUAUAGUAUUGAGUAUUCGCAUGAAUAUUUAAUCAAAGAUUUAUCGGUAAAAGAUGGCUAUGCGUCCUAUUAGUUAGUUGGUAAGGUAAUGGCUUACCAAGACUUUGAUAGGUAGGGGUCCUGAGAGGGAGAUCCCCCACACUGGUACUGAGACACGGACCAG
Molecule: ribosomal RNA, 317 nt
Filed under: uncultured bacterium
Lineage: Bacteria
Description: bacterial SSU rRNA
Rfam family: Bacterial small subunit ribosomal RNA
Source: RNAcentral